RNAcentral lists this unclassified non-coding RNA (479 nucleotides) under Hevea brasiliensis (rubber tree). The record is from RNAcentral. Lineage: Eukaryota; Viridiplantae; Streptophyta; Magnoliopsida; Malpighiales; Euphorbiaceae.
AAAAAAAAAAAAAACUAAAGAAAAGAAAGGAAGGAAAACUAAAGGAGGUUUGCAUGAACAUUUGGAAUCUUUUUCUGUUGUAUUAAGUUAGUGAUAAACUAAAGAAGGUUCUUAUCUCCUAUAUUUUUUGAGUUUUAAUUUAUCUGGUCCAAUGCCUUAAUGUUGACUCUGCAGCUUACUGCUAACUCCGGAAAUGUUUACUUAGGUGCAGCAUCAUUCCUCUGUUUUGAUUGCAAUUUUCCUUUUUAGUCUUAGAUUUUUUAACAUGACUGAGAAGCAUAACUGAAUGUGGUCUUUAAGAUUUAAGACAUGCUUUUGCUGCAACUCAAUAGAUUCCAUUUUAUAUUUCCAGUAUGUGGAGAAUGAUGGCUCUUUCUGUUGGAUGUCAGGAUAUUUGGCACUGAUAAAGGUUACAGAAAGUUGAAGGCGCUGAAAAGUACCGGAGAGGGAGAGGAAGAUGGCGGCAAGCAAAUGCAAUA